CUCUCCACCCAUUGUGACUUACCAAACGUUCCCUCGGCGGGCUCAGCGCGCGGUGGCCUCCGGGCCUCCGGGCGUCCGCCGGGGAAAACCAAACCCUGCUUUAAUCGAAUUUCUCUGACGGGCGAAAGCCCGAAAACAAAAUGAAUCAAAAAUUUCAACAUCGGAUCUCUUGGCUCUGGCAUCGAUGAAAAACGCCUCGAAAUGGCAUGAGUAAUGUGAAUUGCACAAUUCAGUGAAUCAUCCAAUCUUUCAACGAUCAUUGGGCCCGCCGGCACUCCGGCGGGCAUGCCUGUCCCAGCGUCAUUUCAACCCUCAGGCCCACCCUUCCGGGGGAGCGGGCCUGGUUCUGGGGAUCGGUUGCCCUCUCUGCCCCCUUCCAUCAAAUUCAUUGGCGGUCGCUCCGCAUCCUCCCCUGCGAAGUACCACAACCUCGGACCGGACAGCGCGAACGACCACGCCGAAAAACACCCAGUUUUUUAAGGUUGACCUCGGAUCACGUAGGAAUACCCGCUGAACUUACCCAUAUCAAUAAGCGG
This 536-nucleotide ribosomal RNA is filed under the name Sarocladium sp. CAB 2421. RNAcentral describes it as "eukaryotic LSU rRNA". The stretch from base 150 to 303 matches the Rfam family "5.8S ribosomal RNA". Lineage: Eukaryota; Fungi; Ascomycota; Sordariomycetes; Hypocreales; Sarocladiaceae. The record is from RNAcentral.